GGGCACUGGGAUCGGCAGUGACUGAACAUGGUUUCCACAGCUCCCACCGUAGUUACUUCCUGGGCACUCACUGGGCCUGCCAACAACAGUGAGAAGAACAGUGUGCCAACAUAGCGUGGCUUGCCCUCUGAGCUACACAGCAGCACAGGCAUCACCACAGCCGAGCAGAGAGCGGAGAGGCGUUACCUGACGGGACUUGGAGACGCGCUGCAGGAAGGCGAGUGUGGUGGGGUUUUGACUUGGCUGCACAGACCAGCAGAAGCCAGAAGAGAGCUGGUGAAAGAGGAGAAGACACGUCAUCAGGGCUUUAUCGAGAUGGCAUUUUGAAAAGGAAUACAACAUGCUCUCACUUUUUGACUGUGAAUUCAAUUAUGGAUAGUCAGUUAUCCUCUUUUACCAGCGGGGUUCUCUAACACUGUUACAUCCUCGCGUCUUACCUGCUGUACAUCAGGCUGUCCUGCAGCACUUUACUCUCACAUGCCAGCUCAGCCGCUGGAAAACCAGGGGAAAAAUAAAUCAGAAUAAAAUGACGACAAGAGUACAGUUCCAGCUUAUGAAAUGCUAUUAAUGCCACAUAAUAAAAUAUGCCAGGGCAUGGACUCUGCACAGCGGCAUUUGAUAUUUAGGUACAAAAAUAAUACGUUUUCUCACUGGUGAAGUGAGCAGGCACCAUGACAAAGUCAUCCGUGUCACAGGAGGAGGAGUUCUUGCUGCUGCCACCCCCACCAGAGGAGUCCUUGAGGUGGAAACCAGUAGCCUCCUGGGUAGGGGAGGCCAGAGCUUUGGCACGCAAGUGCUGACCCUCAGCAAGAGACUGCUGCAGAGACGGGGAGAGAGAGAGAGAGAGUAGUAAACGAAGAAAGAAAGCACAGAAACGACACAACGAAAGAGAGAAAACCGUGUGAGAAACAGGCGUCGACUUGGUUGGUUUCUACGAUUGCACUUCAAAACAGAUAAUACAGGAAUAACAAACACAAACCGGGGGAGAGGCGAGGUGAGAGGUGGACGAGCUGCUGCAGGAGCUGGCUGACGCAGAGCUCGGGAAGCAGGUCAUGGAUGCAGUCGGAGUUGCUGCGAGCAAAUGCAAGACAACUCGUUAGACAACUCGAGAAACAGAAAUGUGCAUGAAUAAAAAAAAAAAACUAAGACACGUCAUGUCAUGAAGAAGUGGAUUGUUUAUUCUCACUUACUCUUUUUCAGAGAUGAGCUCGCCUCCAGGAAGGGAUGACAAAAAAACUCGUCUAGCAACGACACAAAGAGAAACAGAAUAAGUGGGAGGUAGUGAAGCGGAGCGACCUGUCAGAACAGUGUUGCCCAUCCAGUGUUCAUCGAUAUAGACCAACACGGGAAUACGUUUUCAUCAUAUUUGGACUCGAUAAGCAUUUAUGAAAUGCUACAUUAGUAAGUUCAUCGUCACCACGUAGUCAACGGUCUCAUUCAUUUUCCGGCCUUUAAAGUUGACUGACCAAAGUCCAUGCGGUCCUUGUGGUUGCGCUGCAGCAGACCCAGCAGCAGGUGCCUCAGGUGGCUAGAAGUCUCUCUGGGGAUGCUUUUAAAUACAGAACAGAUACAGGAUCACUUUUUAGCUGCACUCGGUUCACUUGUGUACGUUUGUACUGUCACCAAAUAUAUGAUCUCUCUCUAUUGCCUUGAAAUAAUUACAUGAAUGAAAACCGCAGUGUGCUUUCAUUAGGCAGCUGUGCGGAACUGAAACGUAAAGCCUCACAGACGCUGAUUAGGUUGGGAUGUUGGGGAUUGGUUGCGGGCUUGUCAUCGCUAACAGUGUUGUGAAUACUCUGCUGUUCGACUGUUUUAAACCACCCAGCUGGCAUGGCCGUGACUGGCAGCAUUUAUGUGAAAGAGUGCAUUUGUUUUGGUUUGUGUAAAUACACUGUCAAAGAUAAUUGGGUCUCUCUGAAGAGUUUAGGCCAGGGCUUCACUUUUUGUCGGGUAGUCGAGAUGUAUCGCAGCAAAGUUUCUCAUUUCUUAUGAGUGAAACCCAUAAAACGAAUGCAUAACAUUGGUUGAUCACAUUGGAAAUAAAUGCGCUGUCCUUA
Molecule: long non-coding RNA, 2057 nt
Organism: Cyclopterus lumpus (lumpfish)
Lineage: Eukaryota; Metazoa; Chordata; Actinopteri; Perciformes; Cyclopteridae
Exons: 2
Source: RefSeq, a predicted model, not a curated record